AAUCAAAGAAGUGGCUUCCAUCACUUUUGUCAUCAUCUAUCGGUUAGAAGCAAGUCACAGGUCUUGCCCACACUCAGUGAGAGGGAUUACAUGAAUGUGUGACCACCAGGAGAUGGUAACAAUUGGGGUCAUGAGGGGAUAUGACUGCUACAAUCUCCCAUCAUCAAAAACAAAAACAGGAAUCUAUCAAAGCAAGAGCACCAGUGAAGAAUCUAUUUGGCUGAUAUGGACCCUGUUCUUGCUGGUUAAUGAUGAGCAUCACUGUUCAGCUAGAACACUUGCAUGAUCAUUACAUGGAUGACUCCCUGUGGAAAUGGGAAAGGAAUAAGGAAUACAUAUUUGGAAUGAAGAACAGUUUACAAACACUUGUUUGUUGGUACUAAUUUACAGAGAAUAGUGCAAGAGUUAGCUUUAUUUUUUCUUUAUUAAUAUUAUGUAUGUAUAACUUUAUAUAUGUUAUAUGUGUAUCUUACAUAUACAUUUCUAGAGACCUUAGGAAUAGAAAUCUGAAGAGCUGAGUUGCAAACCCCUUAUUUUCAAGGGUCGAACACUUCAGGUAGUUGGUGAAUAAUUUAUUACAAAGAAUCUCUACUUAGAAUUGUAACGUGUGUGUAUAUAUAUUAUAUGUAAUUAUACAUAUGUAAUAUAUACAUACAAAAAGACAGAGAGACAGAGAGAGACAGAGAAUUUACGCACCAACCAACACAAAUACAUAUGGAAUAAUAGAACAUAUGUUAAUAUCCCUAAAAUUCAGUAUGUAUGAGGCCAGAAGAGAGCGUUCAUAAAAUAUAAAGGAUCAACAUUAUGUAUAUGAUGUUUUCUCACUGCAGUGAAUUAAAAUUAGAUACCAUUAGCAAAAGAAUGGAUUAUAACAAAAUAAUGGAUUCUACAUUGAGAUCUUUGUCGUCAACCAUUCUCUCAUUACUUCUGUCUCAACAAGUGAAGCUCUAGGUACAGAAUGUUCUACAAGUUAGCGUUUCCAAAAUUUCAGGAAACACACAAUCUGUGUCUUACAUAAGUUGUUUCAGAACACAUAAAAGGACUAAAAACUGCCUAACUCCUUUUAUGAGACUACUGUGAUAUUUUUAAAGUUAAGCAUCACAG
This is a long non-coding RNA of Pan paniscus (pygmy chimpanzee), 1104 nucleotides long. NCBI's taxonomy places the organism in Eukaryota, Metazoa, Chordata, Mammalia, Primates, Hominidae. The record is from Ensembl.